Molecule: long non-coding RNA, 1423 nt
Filed under: Equus caballus (horse)
Lineage: Eukaryota; Metazoa; Chordata; Mammalia; Perissodactyla; Equidae
Description: lncRNA (ENSECAG00000047744.1)
Source: RNAcentral
CAAAGAUGGUCCCGGAUAACUGCUGGUUCUAUGCAGAAGGCAGAGAGGACGCCCCUGGUUUUUCUCCCUCUCCGUGUCUCAUCACAGCCGCCUCCCCAAGAAGAGUAAGGGAAUUUGUGUUAGUGCGAAGUUUGCGCCAAGCCCUUUCCUCUUUAAAACAGACAUUACUGUAACCGCUUUCGAAGUGAGGCAACUGAAGCCCAGACAGGUUGCUUUAACUUGCCCAAAGCCUCACAGCAAAGCUGAAGAAGCAGAACUGGGAUUGGAAUCCACGUGUCUGACCCCUCCGGCAGGAUGCAGUCUGUUUAACUGGACUCGCUUCUAGACAGAGCCUUUGGCAAAGGCAGUUUAGGAGCUGGAGACUAGAGUCGCGUGGGAACCAGUCCUCGGGAUAUGAGCUGCACAGAAUCUCCCACAAUCUCAGAUGCGGUCCACGGAAAGUAAUGAGAAGUUGGCUAAGAAAUGUUUUUAAAAACAGCAUAAACAGUAUCGGAUCCACCCAGGAACCUGCUCGGUUGUGGCCUGUGAUCCAUCAGAGGCAGAGGGUCUGUAGUGAGCUUUCUAGUGAGCCUCCUUGUUGGCGGAGGCCUUCGCUAUGGCCCAUCUUCUCGCCUAGGGGGACUAGUUGGGCACCUGGAGUUUCUGCCCACGGCCGGGCAGGUUCCCAGAAAAGGAAAGGUGUGAAAUUGACCUUCUUUUGAGCGGGCUGGGACUCCAGGGCUGGUCGCCUCUUAGGGACUAGGGCUCAGGAAGGUAAGAAGCAUCACCAGGGACCACUGGGUGAGAAGCAGAGCAGGUUGUAGGUUCCACGCCUCCUGAGUCCUGUGCUCUUUUUGCCAAAUCCAUGCCAAUGUGGGAGGGUUCUGUGACUAUAUCACUGUUGACCUCGCAGAGAAAGAGAACACAAGUCUUACUAACCUGAGAAUUUAUAGACUCUGCCCCAAGGUACAUGAAAACCCUAGUGGAAGCCUGAGCUCUUGGAGCCAGGAAGUGGCAAGUUUUAACUCCACCAGGAGCUGGCUGGGCGGCCUCUGAGCCUCAGUUUUAUCAUCAGCAAAACAGGGCUAACAGUACAUUCUCCAAGGAUUGAUAAACUCACCCCUACACAUCUUGCAGCACGGGGCCCAGCCUUCGUAAGCACUGACUAAAUAGUAGCCCUGACUGGUAUUAAUAAACUAGUUUAAAUGAUGUUGAAAAAAUAAUCUAUGCAGGCUGAUUCCCCGCUCCCUGCUGGAAGAUCUCAAAGGACUGUGGCCAGGUCUGGAAGGGUACCACCCUCCUGGUUGGAGGGCUUUGCAGUUACUAUUCAGGGUCUGGUUGGUAGCAUCCUUUGCAUCUGUGGUCAGUUAACAAGAACAGAGGUAAUGCCAGCAGACAUAACAUAAAACAGUGGCACCUUAAUUUUAUUUUAAGUACUCUACAG